Molecule: ribosomal RNA, 399 nt
Filed under: uncultured bacterium
Lineage: Bacteria
Description: bacterial SSU rRNA
Rfam family: Bacterial small subunit ribosomal RNA
Source: RNAcentral
AAGUCGUACGGAGAGUGGAGCAACUCACUCUCAGUGGCAAACGGGUGAGUAACGCGUGAAUAACCUGCCUUUGAGAAGGGGAUAACUGUCCGAAAGGAUAGCUAAUACCCUAUAUUGCCUUUUGUCACUAAGGCAAAAGGUGAAAGCAAGGCUGUCAAAGGCUUCGGCUCAAAGAGGGGUUCGCGUCCUAUCAGGUAGUUGGUGGGGUAAUGGCCUACCAAGCCAAUGACGGGUAGCUGGUCUUAGAGGAUGAUCAGCCACAGUGGGACUGAGACACGGCCCGCACCCCUACGGGGGGCAGCAGUGGGGAAUCGUGGGCAAUGGGCGCAAGCCUGACCCCGCAAUGCCGCGUGAGGGAAGAAGCCCUUCGGGGUGUAAACCUCUGUCAGAUGGGAAGAU